Molecule: long non-coding RNA, 1347 nt
Organism: Labeo rohita (rohu)
Lineage: Eukaryota; Metazoa; Chordata; Actinopteri; Cypriniformes; Cyprinidae
Exons: 4
Source: RefSeq, a predicted model, not a curated record
GGGUGGUUGCUAUGCAGUUACCAAUGUACUCAGGGUGGUUGCUAGGGAGCUGCUAUGUAGUUGUCAAGGUAUUUGGGUGGUUGCUAUGCAGUUGCCAAUGUACUCAGAGUGGUUGCUAGGGAGUUUCUAUGUAGUUGUCAAGGUACUUGGGUGGUUGCUAUGCAGUUGCCAAUGUACUCAGAGUGGUUGCUAUGGAGUUGCCAGUGUACUCAGGGUGGUUGCUAGGGAGUUCCUAUGUAGUUGUCAAGGUACUUGGGUGGUUGCUAUGCAGUUGCCAAUGUACUCAGAGUGGUUGCUAGGGAGUUGCUAUGUAGUUGUCAAGGUACUUGGGUGGUUGCUAUGCAGUUGCCAAUGUACUCAGAGUGGUUGCUAGGGAGUUGCUAUGUAGUUGUCAAGGUACUUGGGUGGUUGCUAUGCAGUUGCCAAUGUACUCAGGGUGGUUGCUAGGGAGUUGCUAUGUAGUGUCUUCACUGUAGUUCACACACACACACAUUCAGACACAGAAACUUCAGCGCUGACCUGCAAAUUUUACCAAUAAAAUAUUUUAACUGCUGAAGAGCUGCAUGAUCUUCCUCUGCAAGGAGUUUAUAACAUCACUGUUAUUUGAAUCAUUUAAAGUCACAGCUGCACUGAUAAAUGAUAAACAGCAAAAAUGGAAGUAAUUCAUACAUACACAGACUCUCUCUCAUAAAUAAAAACACUUGAUCAAUGACACUUUUCUGAGAAUAGAUUAUGAAGUGUUGAUCACUAAACUGUAAGUUUAUGGUGUUUUCAGAAAAGCAGUGCUUUUAUCUACAGUAGGGAGAGAACGUUCACAUGGUUGCCAGGUUGACAAAAAUAGGGAACACAUUUAGCAGAUAUUUCAAUAUUACAGAUGUGAAUCUGUUUCAGUGAUUACGUCUCUUUAUAUCAGACCUCAGUUGUGUUCCUCUGUGUCCAGAUUCAACUUUGUAGUAGCCUAUAAUAUACUCUAUUCACUGUUUUUCUGUUUUUAUUUAAAUUAAGUGCAGUUCACUGCUGAUACAGAAACAGCUGCAUGAAUAUCCUUAUCAAGUAGUACAUUGUAAUGUGUAUCAAACAGUCUUAGUUUCUAGGGUCUUGCUUUGCUGUUGUAAAAUAGCAUAGCAUUGUUGUGAAAUAUUACAAUUUAAAAUAACUCAGAAUGAUUUCAAAAAUAAAUUAUUUCUGAAGGAUCAUGUGACUGAAGACAAUGAAGACUGAAGUAAUUGCUGAUAAAAAAACAACUUUCAGAGGAAUAAUUGUAUUGUUAAAGUAUUUUAAAAUAGAAACUUAUUUUAUAUUUCAAUUAUACUUCAUUAUAUUACUGUUUUAUCUUUAUUUUUGAUC